RNAcentral lists this ribosomal RNA (490 nucleotides) under uncultured bacterium. RNAcentral's name for it is "partial 16S ribosomal RNA". It matches the Rfam family "Bacterial small subunit ribosomal RNA", at positions 29 to 507 of the family's 1533-position model. The record is from RNAcentral.
AGUGAACGCUGGCGGUAGGCCUAACACAUGCAAGUCGAACGGCAGCACAGGAGAGCUUGCUCUCUAGGUGGCGAGUGGCGGACGGGUGAGGAAUACAUCGGAAUCUGCCCAGUCGUGGGGGAUAACGUAGGGAAACUUACGCUAAUACCGCAUACGACCUUCGGGUGAAAGAGGGGGAUCGCAAGACCUCUCGCGAUUGGAUGAGCCGAUGUCGGAUUAGCUAGUUAGCGGGGUAAUGGCCCACCAAGGCGACGAUCCGUAGCUGGUCUGAGAGGAUGAUCAGCCACACUGGAACUGAGACACGGUCCAGACUCCUACGGGAGGCAGCAGUGGGGAAUAUUGGACAAUGGGCGCAAGCCUGAUCCAGCCAUACCGCGUGGGUGAAGGAGGCCUUCGGGUUGUAAAGCCCUUUCGUUGGGAAAGAAAUCUUUCAGGCUAAUACCCUGGGAGGAUGACGGUACCCAAAGAAUAAGCACCGGCUAACUUCGUG